RNAcentral lists this long non-coding RNA (420 nucleotides) under Carica papaya (papaya). Its description in RNAcentral is "long non-coding RNA (CPAP_LNC005654)". Lineage: Eukaryota; Viridiplantae; Streptophyta; Magnoliopsida; Brassicales; Caricaceae. The record is from RNAcentral.
AAUGUGAUAUGGGAUAUUGGUAUGAGUUUGUUGGUUGUUUGCUAUGAGAAUCCUUAUGUGAAAGACUUACUGAGCACCAAUGGAAAGGGUGGACGCCGGUACAUAAGGAAUCCUACCGUGAAUGCUACCUCAGUUAAACGGGGCUGAGAAGUCUCUUACCGGAAAGGUUUGGGAGAUAUGAUUCACUCUCAUAUUGAACGGGAUAUCGAGGUAAUGGAAUGUUUGGUGCCCAUUAAUGGAUGAGGGAUGGGGACAACUAGUUAAUUGUUAAAAUUGGAUAUUGGGUUCAUGAGUAAGGGGGACACCCCUAUGGACCCUCAGGGGUGCCAGUAAGCAAGUAAGAAAAGAAAGUUAUUGUUUUUCGUUCUCUUAUGUAUGAAAGUGAAAAGUGGUAUGUAUAUGGGUGUUCAUAUGUUGUUU